AUAAGCAUCAUGUCACCCUUGCAUUUAAUCACUUUGAAAACCCCAAAAUUUACCCAGAAAAUCUCUAUUCAAAAAUGCUUUCUUUGAAUUUGGGCUUUGAUUCUUAAUUUUGAGUAUUUGCAUUUUAACCUAUGAGGGUAUUGGUACAAAAAGGGAUUUAAGGCAUAUAUAAAGCUAUCCCAUAAUUGACUUUUGAAACUAUUUUGAAAAAUAAUUUAUUUUGAUAGCCUAAGGGCCCUAAAAGCCAUUUUAUAGGAAAAUGUAUUUUUAAAUAAUUUAUUUUGAGGAAAUUCUUGUUCCAAAAGUUAGAUCAUAUGAAAAUAUGAUUUUACAAAUUUUUUUGCAAUUUAUUUGGAGCGAUUUGGAGCUCUGAAUCAAUUUUGAGGUUGAAAAACAGAAAAAAGAAAAAAAAAGAAAGGAAAAAACCGAAGAAAACCGGACCGAACCGGCUGAACCGGACCGUACUGGCCAAACCGGACUGGAUCGACCGGCUCCGUCCCGCCCGAGCCGCCCGCAGCCACUGACCGGUGGACCCCGCCAUCGUCUUCCCCACGAACUGCCUCCGGAUUCCACGCGCACGACUCCGAGUCCACGCCCACGCCUCCACUCCGAUUUCUCCGCGCACGGGACGUCUCCUCCCAAUCCCUGCGCGUCACCCCGAAGCCCUCGCUUUUCUCCUCCACUUCCCCCAAACCGCACGUCCAAUUUCGCUGCGGUUAGAAAGUAAUUGCUCACCGGAGUUCAUCUCUGUCGUUGCCGUUCUUCGCGUUUUCGCUGCCGUUCCGGUGAGCCUCUCACCACGCCGACCCCCUAACCUCUCUCCUAUCCUUGUUCCGCACCCUGUGACGCACGCACUUUAGUUUUUGGAGCGCCGCUCGCGCGCUGUUCGCCGUCCGCC
RNAcentral lists this long non-coding RNA (898 nucleotides) under Brachypodium distachyon (stiff brome). RNAcentral's name for it is "long non-coding RNA (BDIS_LNC002265)". Lineage: Eukaryota; Viridiplantae; Streptophyta; Magnoliopsida; Poales; Poaceae. The record is from RNAcentral.